AUAUAAGGAUAGUUUUCAUAAUUGCAGGAUUUUUGUUGUUGUUUUUUUUUGUUUGUUUGUUUUUUUAAUCUUUUUGUCCAUGACUGCAGCACACAGAAGUUUCUGGGUCAGGAAUCAAAUUCGCACCACAGCACUUAUGGCAACACCGGAUCCUUAACUAUGAGCAAGGCCAAGGAUCAAACCCACAUCCUCAUGGAUCCUAGUCGGGUUCAUUAUUCUUUUUUAAAAUGAGAUAAUUCACAAACCAUAACUUUUCAUAUACAUGAAUUCUUAUUUUUAAGUAACCCAAAUUAUUUAAAAUUAUACUUCCAGUAUAUUUCCAGACAUGGUUUGGGUUACUUACAUAGUUUUGUGUACAUGUAACUAUUUCAUUCUUAUAUAUAGUUUUGUAAUUCACUUGUUUUUUCUUAAUACUAUUUCUUAGUCAUCCUCUCCACAUAGAACAAAGUGAACUGCCUCAGUAUUUCUUCCUUGAAUAGUUUUUCAUGAUUCUGCCAUGGUUUACUUCCUCGUAAAGGAUAUUUAAGUUACCCUCUGUUUUUCUAAUUGGAAAAUUCUUUUCUGAGCUUUAGUGAGUUUGCAGUGCUGAUGCCCCUUAAGUAGGAUUAGAACAUGUUGAACAACCAAACUGGAAAAGAGUAACUGGCUGCUAGUAAUAUAGGGAAUUAAUGUUUAAUUAGCUAACAGGCCAUGGAGCCUAACCCAAUCAUAAUCUUUUCUCACCCUAAGGCACAUGAAGAUCCCAUGUAUGACAUCAUACGAGAGAAUAAAAGACAUGAAAAGGAUAUAAGGUGAGGUUGUCCUGAUGAUAACAAUAUGCUCUUAAAGUCUGAAAUUAUGUACAUUUGGAAACAGCCAUGCCAGUAUUAGAUAAAUGGUUUAAUACACAUGGUACUUUAAUUGUGAAAUACGUGGAAGAUGGGACUAAUCCCUGAAAAGGCCAGUGUGUGGGGAAUGAGCAGUCCAGCCUGUUCUACUUGGGUUAACUUAAAGCAGUGGGCUUAGCCCAGCCCGCUCAUGCCACUGAUAGUUGAUGUUGGCAGCCCACAUGGUGGUAUCUAGUUCUGCUAUAUGAUUUUUUUUUAUGGCUGCAUCCACCACAUAUGAAAGUUCCUGGGCUAAGGACUGAAUCCGAGCCACAGUUGUGGCAAUGCCAGAUCCUUUAACCCACAGGGAACAAACCCACGGCUCUGCAACGACCUGAGCCACCGCAGUCAGACUCCUAACUCACUGUACCACAGCAGAAACUCCUCUGCUGUAUGAUUGAUUCGCUUUCAUAUGUUUAGUUUAUCUUCUGCAGUGUCUUUAAGGAUCUGUACUGUUGUACACAUAAAUAAAGAUAGGGUGAAAAAACAUGAGGUUUUUUCCUUUCCUCAAAUUAGUGAUAUCGAAUUAAAAUUGCUAGGGGGUAGAUUACCUCGAAUGAAUUUGAGCAGUGGGAAAAUGAUUUAGGAAAGUAUGCAUCUGUUAUAAUAGUAAAGACUAUAGAAACAUGCAGAAAUAUUUAGGACCGUGAAAAUAAUGCAAAAUAGCUGUUAUACUGGUUAUGCUCAUGUAAAAUAGGUGUGGAUAUAGAAAAGUAUGGGGGGAACACACAAAAAUAAAAAUAAAUACUGUCUUUAAUAAGGAGAUUAUUUUUGACAUUUUUCACCCUCACUACUGUCCUUAUAUUUUUAUUUGAAUUUUUUUUAAGUUGAAUGUGGUUCUUUGGUCAAUCUUGUGUGUUUAGGAUACAACAGUUAAAACAGUU
This 1750-nucleotide long non-coding RNA is filed under the name Sus scrofa (pig). Its description in RNAcentral is "lncRNA (ENSSSCG00040067584.1)". The record is from RNAcentral. Lineage: Eukaryota; Metazoa; Chordata; Mammalia; Artiodactyla; Suidae.